RNAcentral lists this ribosomal RNA (1405 nucleotides) under Scytalidium circinatum. RNAcentral describes it as "eukaryotic LSU rRNA". It matches the Rfam family "Eukaryotic large subunit ribosomal RNA", at positions 23 to 1463 of the family's 3401-position model. Lineage: Eukaryota; Fungi; Ascomycota; Leotiomycetes. The record is from RNAcentral.
ACCCGCUGAACUUAAGCAUAUCAAUAAGCGGAGGAAAAGAAACCAACAGGGAUUGCCUCAGUAACGGCGAGUGAAGCGGCAACAGCUCAAAUUUGAAAUCUGGCCUUGGCCCGAGUUGUAAUUUGUAGAGGAUGUUUCUGGCGCGGCGCCUUCCGAGUUCCCUGGAACGGGACGCCAUAGAGGGUGAGAGCCCCGUACGGUCGCGCGCUAAGCCUCUGUGAAACUCCUUCAACGAGUCGAGUAGUUUGGGAAUGCUGCUCUAAAUGGGAGGUGUACGUCUUCUAAAGCUAAAUACCGGCCAGAGACCGAUAGCGCACAAGUAGAGUGAUCGAAAGAUGAAAAGCACUUUGAAAAGAGGGUUAAACAGUACGUGAAAUUGUUGAAAGGGAAGCGGUUACGACCAGACUUGGGSCCGGUUAAUCAUCCAGCGUUCUCGCUGGUGCACUUGGCCGGCCCAGGCCAGCAUCAGUUUGCCCCGGGGGAUAAAGGCUUCGGGAAUGUGGCUCCCUAGGGAGUGUUAUAGCCCGUUGCGUAAUACCCUGAGGUGGACUGAGGUACGCGCUCCGCAAGGAUGCUGGCGUAAUGGUCGUCACCGACCCGUCUUGAAACACGGACCAAGGAGUCGUCUUCGUAUGCGAGUGUUCGGGUGUCAAACCCCUGCGCGUAAUGAAAGUGAACGUAGGUGAGAGCUUCGGCGCAUCACCGACCGAUCCUGAUGUUCUCGGAUGGAUUUGAGUAAGAGCAUACGGGGCCGGACCCGAAAGAAGGUGAACUAUGCCUGUAUAGGGUGAAGCCAGAGGAAACUCUGGUGGAGACUCGCAGCGGUUCUGACGUGCAAAUCGAUCGUCAAAUGUGGGCAUGGGGGCGAAAGACUAAUCGAACCUUCUAGUAGCUGGUUUCAGCUGAAGUUUCCCUCAGGAUAGCAGUGUUGAGCUCAGUUUUAUGAGGUAAAGCGAAUGAUUAGGGACUCGGGGGCGCUUUUUAGCCUUCAUCCAUUCUCAAACUUUAAAUAUGUAAGAAGCCCUUGUUGCUUAAUUGAACGUAGGCAUUCGAAUGUAUCAACACUAGUGGGCCAUUUUUGGUAAGCAGAACUGGCGAUGCGGGAUGAACCGAACGCGAGGUUAAGGUGCCAGAGUAGACGCUCAUCAGACACCACAAAAGGUGUUAGUACAUCUUGACAGCAGGACGGUGGCCAUGGAAGUCGGAAUCCGCUAAGGACUGUGUAACAACUCACCUGCCGAAUGUACUAGCCCUGAAAAUGGAUGGCGCUCAAGCGUCUCACCCAUACCUCGCCCUCAGGGUAGAAACGAUGCCCUGAGGAGUAGGCUGACGUGGAGGUCAGUGACGAAGCCUAGGGCGUGAGCCCGGGUUGAACGGCCUCUAGUGCAGAUCUUGGUGGUAGUAA